UGCGGUAACGGUCCUGGAAUGACUCGCAGUCCUCCAUCAGCUCGUGCAUCUGACCUCCAAAGUUCUCCCUCUCGUAGAUCCUCAUCCUGAAGGAUCCUCUGUGCUGUUAAGUGAUUCAAUAAAUUAGUAGUUGAGGACUCCACGAUACACCCCAAUGGCAUGAUUUGCCUGUUCAUGAACCCCAUCUCUCUGAAGCUUCUGUACUCCCAUGGCCUCAGGUGUGUCAUCAGUGGGUUGCCAUGGAGAUCACGUGACAGGAGUGGAUGCAUGGAUGUUGCCCAAGGUGUACCAGACUGGCUCUCCACUGAAUUGCAACUUCUGCAGCCAGUGCAGGUCAACUGUGGGCGAAUAGUUGGAAAGAAGAGUCGAUAUUUGUAUCGUGAGGCCCACACGAUUGUUACUGGUCUUCUGAAGACUUGAACCUAGAAAAGUGGGGUGUGGCAUCACUGCAGUGAGAACCAGUGGUUCAUCUUGAUUUGGCCCAGGAAUGUGGCUCUACAGUGUUACUGUAACCAGAGCACUAGAUACAGUUUAGAUGGGAAAUUGGAGAGCAUGUUAAGCUGAAUGGCCAGUUCUCAUCAUUAUGUUGUUAUGUUAUGUUAUAACCCAUCUUCUAUGGAGAUGAAAGUGGAUGUUUGGACUUCUGUGAGAACUCACUGAAUGUAGAGGUACUAACUGAAAUGCUCUGAACUUACCUAAAGUAGAAGAAUUAACAUAAGUUGAAAGGCUAAAUGCUGAAUGCUCUGGACAAUGGUUUCCCAUUUGGAGAAAAAUGUUCCCAGUGAAUGCAGAAUAAAAUGAAUCAGACCAUGUCUAAUAACUUAAAAUAAAAUUUUUAUU
Long non-coding RNA from Anguilla rostrata (American eel), 840 nucleotides. RefSeq lists it as uncharacterized. The record is from RefSeq and is a predicted model, not a curated record. The transcript is spliced from 3 exons. NCBI's taxonomy places the organism in Eukaryota, Metazoa, Chordata, Actinopteri, Anguilliformes, Anguillidae.